This 803-nucleotide ribosomal RNA is filed under the name Lactobacillus delbrueckii subsp. bulgaricus. RNAcentral describes it as "bacterial SSU rRNA". It matches the Rfam family "Bacterial small subunit ribosomal RNA", at positions 86 to 874 of the family's 1533-position model. The record is from RNAcentral. Lineage: Bacteria; Bacillati; Bacillota; Bacilli; Lactobacillales; Lactobacillaceae.
UGGACGCUAGCGGCGGAUGGGUGAGUAACACGUGGGCAAUCUGCCCUAAAGACUGGGAUACCACUUGGAAACAGGUGCUAAUACCGGAUAACAACAUGAAUCGCAUGAUUCAAGUUUGAAAGGCGGCGCAAGCUGUCACUUUAGGAUGAGCCCGCGGCGCAUUAGCUAGUUGGUGGGGUAAAGGCCUACCAAGGCAAUGAUGCGUAGCCGAGUUGAGAGACUGAUCGGCCACAUUGGGACUGAGACACGGCCCAAACUCCUACGGGAGGCAGCAGUAGGGAAUCUUCCACAAUGGACGCAAGUCUGAUGGAGCAACGCCGCGUGAGUGAAGAAGGUCUUCGGAUCGUAAAGCUCUGUUGUUGGUGAAGAAGGAUAGAGGCAGUAACUGGUCUUUAUUUGACGGUAAUCAACCAGAAAGUCACGGCUAACUACGUGCCAGCAGCCGCGGUAAUACGUAGGUGGCAAGCGUUGUCCGGAUUUAUUGGGCGUAAAGCGAGCGCAGGCGGAAUGAUAAGUCUGAUGUGAAAGCCCACGGCUCAACCGUGGAACUGCAUCGGAAACUGUCAUUCUUGAGUGCAGAAGAGGAGAGUGGAACUCCAUGUGUAGCGGUGGAAUGCGUAGAUAAUUGGAAGAACACCAGUGGCGAAGGCGGCUCUCUGGUCUGCAACUGACGCUGAGGCUCGAAAGCAUGGGUAGCGAACAGGAUUAGAUACCCUGGUAGUCCAUGCCGUAAACGAUGAGCGCUAGGUGUUGGGGACUUUCCGGUCCUCAGUGCCGCAGCAAACGCAUUAAGCGCUCCGCCU